GAUGAACGCUGGCGGCGCGCCUAACACAUGCAAGUCGAACGGCACCCACCUUCGGGUGGAAGCGAGUGGCGAACGGCUGAGUAACACGUGGAGAACCUGCCCCCUCCCCCGGGAUAGCCGCCCGAAAGGACGGGUAAUACCGGAUACCCCGGGGUGCCGCAUGGCACCCCGGCUAAAGCCCCGACGGGAGGGGAUGGCUCCGCGGCCCAUCAGGUAGACGGCGGGGUGACGGCCCACCGUGCCGACAACGGGUAGCCGGGUUGAGAGACCGACCGGCCAGAUUGGGACUGAGACACGGCCCAGACUCCUACGGGAGGCAGCAGUGGGGAAUCUUGCGCAAUGGGGGGAACCCUGACGCAGCGACGCCGCGUGCGGGACGGAGGCCUUCGGGUCGUAAACCGCUUUCAGCAGGGAAGAGUCAAGACUGUACCUGCAGAA
This 438-nucleotide ribosomal RNA is filed under the name uncultured bacterium. RNAcentral describes it as "bacterial SSU rRNA". It matches the Rfam family "Bacterial small subunit ribosomal RNA", at positions 28 to 486 of the family's 1533-position model. The record is from RNAcentral.